This 74-nucleotide transfer RNA is filed under the name Phycisphaerales bacterium. Its description in RNAcentral is "tRNA-Arg". It matches the Rfam family "tRNA". Rfam says of the family: Transfer RNA (tRNA) molecules are approximately 80 nucleotides in length. Their secondary structure includes four short double-helical elements and three loops (D, anti-codon, and T loops). The record is from RNAcentral. Lineage: Bacteria; Pseudomonadati; Planctomycetota; Phycisphaerae; Phycisphaerales.
GCGCCUGUAGCUCAGUCGGAUAGAGCACCGGUUUCCUAAACCGGGGGUCGCAGGUUCGAAUCCUGCCAGGCGUA